CUACGGGUCGCUCCAGUGGGGAAUCUUGCGCAAUGGGCGAAAGCCUGACGCAGCAACGCCGCGUGAGCGAAGAAGGCCUUCGGGUUGUAAAGCUCUGUCAGGGGGAAAGAAGGCACCUGGGUUAAUAGCCCAAGGGCUGACGGUACCCCCAAAGGAAGCCACGGCUAACUACGUGCCAGCAGCCGCGGUAAUACGUAGGUGGCAAGCGUUGUCCGGAAUCAUUGGGCGUAAAGCGCGCGUAGGUGGUUUGUCAGGUCCGAUGUGAAAUCCUGGGGCUCAACUCCAGGCGUGCAUUGGCAACCGGCUUACUAGAGUCUGGGAGAGGAGAGUGGAAUUCCUGGUGUAGCGGUGAAAUGCGUAGAUAUCAGGAGGAACACCAGUAGCGAAGGCGGCUCUCUGGAACAGUACUGACGCUGAGGCGCGAAAGCUAGGGGAGCGAACAGGAUUAGAUACCCUUGUAGUC
RNAcentral lists this ribosomal RNA (463 nucleotides) under uncultured bacterium. RNAcentral describes it as "partial 16S ribosomal RNA". It matches the Rfam family "Bacterial small subunit ribosomal RNA", at positions 339 to 795 of the family's 1533-position model. The record is from RNAcentral.